GUGUCAGCCGCCGCGGUAACACGGGGGGAGCAAGCGUUGUUCGGAAUCACUGGGCGUAAAGGGCGUCUAGGCGGUUCGGUAAGUGGGAUGUGAAAUCCCUCGGCUCACCCGAGGACCUGCAUCCCAAACUGCCGAGCUUGAGUAUGGGAGAGGAUGAGGGAAUUCCUGGUGUAGCGGUGAAAUGCGUAGAUAUCAGGAGGAACACCGGUGGCGAAGGCGCUCAUCUGGCCCAAUACUGACGCUGAAGCGCGAAAGCUAGGGGAGCAAACGGGAUUAGAUACCCCUGUAGUCC
This 292-nucleotide ribosomal RNA is filed under the name uncultured bacterium. Its description in RNAcentral is "partial 16S ribosomal RNA". It matches the Rfam family "Bacterial small subunit ribosomal RNA", at positions 505 to 796 of the family's 1533-position model. The record is from RNAcentral.